AUAUACAUACAUACAUACAGACGCAUGCACGAACAGAUAUAUGUCUAAAUACACAUAUACAUACAUACACACACAUGUAUAUAUAUAUAUACACACACACACACACACACUGAAACAUUUUAAGUCACUGUGAUGUUAAAAUCUAUGGCAGCUUUCGGUUGAUUUUUUAAUGUUAUAUAUAUAUAU
Molecule: long non-coding RNA, 186 nt
Organism: Octopus sinensis (East Asian common octopus)
Lineage: Eukaryota; Metazoa; Mollusca; Cephalopoda; Octopoda; Octopodidae
Exons: 3
Source: RefSeq, a predicted model, not a curated record